Molecule: ribosomal RNA, 154 nt
Filed under: Tetradesmus obliquus
Lineage: Eukaryota; Viridiplantae; Chlorophyta; Chlorophyceae; Sphaeropleales; Scenedesmaceae
Description: 16S ribosomal RNA
Source: RNAcentral
CUUGCCACAAGGGCACAGCACUUUGGUUCUAUAGAACCAAAGGUUUAUUUUUUUUUUAAAACAGAUCUACACAGGCGUUGCAUGGCUGUCGUCAGUCCGUGGUGCUAUACCGUUUUCGCACAAUUUUGUGCUUCUUACGGACAUCUCCCCUACC